This 23-nucleotide transfer RNA is filed under the name Crotaphytus collaris. RNAcentral's name for it is "partial tRNA-Gln". The record is from RNAcentral. Lineage: Eukaryota; Metazoa; Chordata; Lepidosauria; Squamata; Crotaphytidae.
GUGGUAAUUCAACUACAAAAACA